Molecule: unclassified non-coding RNA, 2497 nt
Filed under: Nilaparvata lugens (brown planthopper)
Lineage: Eukaryota; Metazoa; Arthropoda; Insecta; Hemiptera; Delphacidae
Description: peroxisome assembly factor 2, transcript variant X1
Source: RNAcentral
CACAAUUAUUUAAUUAUUGUUAUAAUAAUAUCAAGUCAAUUAUUGGUGAUACAGUACAUUAUUUCAUUUUCAUUAUUUGUUUCUUUGAACACUGAAAGAAGUUGGCAGUCAUGAAUAUAAACCAAGUUAAUUCCAUUUAUUUUAGAAACAGUCAAGAAUGCACAGCUAUGCGGGAAGAGUACGGAAAGUGGGAUUUGGACGAUUUUUAUUUUAAAAUCGGUUCAGAAUAGUUCACUCUCAUUCGUACAUUCGUUACUCAAUCUCAAUGUUAGGCAAAGUUCAAUCAGCCAAAAAAAGGUUCAAUCAUCCGAAAGAGUAAGGUGAUACUAAAAUACCUUCCUGCUCCUCUAUGUUUAGGGAAGUCACCCAAUUAUUGACUAUUUUUUAUAGUGAGUUAUUCUCAAAUUGUCUGGAUUUUCUAAAUAUACGGGCAGUUUUUGAAAAAGGAACUGCAUUUUGUAAUGUGACGAAGUGGAGGAAAAUUUCUAGUAAGUCUAGGGUUGCCGAUACCAAUAUUUAAAGCUCCUCUUGUGUUAUAAUUGUGAAUGAUAUUAGAAAAUGUAGCUACUUUGUGUUUGAAUAUGUAGAAGGUUAGGGUUUUUAUAUAAAAUUGUUGUACAUUUAAGUACACCUUAUAUUCUUCAAAGAGAUAAUCUGAUGGAUAUUAUGUUAGUGGUUUGCGUAAGACACUUUUCAUUAUAAGUUUCUGUACAUUUGAUAAAGGAGUCAAUGUUGUUUUGAAUGUACCACCCCAAGCUAUAAUACCAUACUGUAAGAUGGAUUGGAUGUAAGCAGAAUAAACUUGUUUUAUUAUAUUGGGUGUAAGGAUUCCGCUUAAAGAUGCAAUAUCAAUGUUUGGUUUUCGUAAUUCAUCUUGUAUCGAAAUCUUGUAUCAUGUAUUUGGAUUAAUAUGAGAGACAAAUAUGUUGAAGCGACACAGCAAUUUUUGAAGAGUAAAUUUUAAUUUCAAAUAGUAACCUCAAUGAAACCUACUGUCAAUAUUAUUCUUGGAGAAUAAAUAAUUAGCUGUUUCCAUGAUUUUCACCAACUGUGUAUAAUUAAAAGUUGCUGGUUUCAAAGAUUACAAUACAACAGUUCUUGAGCAAGUACUCCAACCCAGAGGGUAACUAGUUUAAAUAUUCUCGAGCCUGUUGAAUAGAUUAAUUGAAUGGUCGUGCUUUUGUCAAGUUGCAAAAAGAAUAAAAACGGAUUCCCACAUAUGAUAUAAGGAUCAAUAUCAAUGAACAUACAGUGUCCGGUACAGUGAUAAUAUUAUUCCAAUAAGUUCUACUGGGACCAUUUAUACUCGCUCAACCAGACUUAUAUAAAAUUAUCAAAUCAAAUUCAAAUCUUAGCUUAUCUAUUAUUUUCAUGAUUCAAACAUUCAAAUUCAAAAUUCAAAUUUCAUUUAAUGCCCAAUACACAUUAUACAAAAUAUUGUACAGGCACUGUCAAUAUACAUAAAAAUCAUACAACUUAACACUAAACAUAAAAAAGUAUCACAUCACUGUCCAACCUAAUGCUAAAAUACUGUUCUUUGUAUUCAUUGUAUUGUUAUCAAUUUAGUUACAAAUAGAUUAAUUACAUAGUUUAGUUACAUAAUUUGAUGAAAUAAAUUUGAUUUAUAUUUAGACUGUUUUGAGAAUCGAACUGACUCUGUGAUAAAGGUAUCAAUAGAGAUAAUAUUUCGAUAGAGUAACCCCUCAACCUUCCCCCUUAGCAAUCCGCCAGCCAGCCGUCAUCAUCUCAACCAGUCUGCCUACAACUUCCGUGCGAAACGUGUCCCAACGCCGUCUCAAACGCAAGGUAAUUAUUGGCCGCCUGCCAGUGUUAAUAAUUAUUUGUAUUGUCUGGAACUCACAUGUAAAAUCGCGGUCCUCCGUAUCAAGUAACCCCUCAAAAUCCACACGAGCCAGGAUAUGAACCAGUAUAGAAAAAUCAUAGUUUUAAUCUCGUUUCGUUAGUUUUCAAACCUCAUGUUUCAAGUUGUUUUUCCGUUAAAAAGUGUGUUCGAGUCGUGUGUGUGUGUGAGUGUGUGUUUCAAUCAGUUAUUCAACUCAAAAUUCCAAAUACCUCCAUUAAAUUGAGGAAAGGAGUAGAAAGUUAUUUAAUUUCAAAGUUUUUUAAAGUGUUCAAUUUAAUUGCUUGGUGUUCGCCAUAUUUUGUACAAGACAUUUCAUGUUGCAAAUUCCAUUUCUUAAUUAUCGUGACGUCAUAGCUCGGUUGUGCGUUUGAUUCAACUUCCCCCUCCCGCGUCUACCGCGCCGGUCUGCAACCACCUGUCCUGCCUCGCUUGACCAUCAGCUUCAUGCCUGUUGAACGGAGAGUCUCCAUCGAGAUAAGUUAUCGCUGGUGGCUUGCAUUACGAUUUGAAAAAUAAUUGCAAUGGCAGCAGUUUGACUGUUCGAGUGACCAAUGAUGACUUUGAAGCAGCCAUUCAACAGCUUCAGUCGAGUAAUUAGCCAUGACAAGAAAUUAUUCUUUGCAAAAAUUAUAA